GGCUUUCGGGUCGUAAAACUCUGUUGUUAGGGAAGAACAAGUGCUAGUUGAAUAAGCUGGCACCUUGACGGUACCUAACCAGAAAGCCACGGCUAACUACGUGCCAGCAGCCGCGGUAAUACGUAGGUGGCAAGCGUUAUCCGGAAUUAUUGGGCGUAAAGCGCGCGCAGGUGGUUUCUUAAGUCUGAUGUGAAAGCCCACGGCUCAACCGUGGAGGGUCAUUGGAAACUGGGAGACUUGAGUGCAGAAGAGGAAAGUGGAAUUCCAUGUGUAGCGGUGAAAUGCGUAGAGAUAUGGAGGAACACCAGUGGCGAAGGCGACUUUCUGGUCUGUAACUGACACUGAGGCGCGAAAGCGUGGGGAGCAAACAGGAUUAGAUACCCCGGUAGU
Molecule: ribosomal RNA, 390 nt
Filed under: bacterium
Lineage: Bacteria
Description: bacterial SSU rRNA
Rfam family: Bacterial small subunit ribosomal RNA
Source: RNAcentral